CAACCAUAGAACGCCAGCUCUCGGGCUAUAUAAAGCGCAGUUCCACAGUGUUUGCGUUAUUCUGUGGUAAGUUUAUGAAGAGAACGGUCAACCUUAAAACACUCUGCUGAGGACAGUACAGGGACAGGACACAGUUGUCAAUAUCAAAUGCCUGUUGCAUUGGAUGUCAUCUGAAAGUCUUAAGUGUCACAUGGACAUGCAGUAUUGCCAUUUAUCCACUUAUACAGUAUGCUGAAAAAUGAUAGUUGAGCUGAUUUGGUUUGUGUUUUAAUUUAAAGGUCCAUUUGACAAACUUCAGGAGCGGGAGGCUGAUCGGAAGGGCACAUCUCAUAACAUGCAGGUGGACAAUAAGAGGUUCAUCCUACAUGCCCUGAUCUCCAACCCUCUGCUUCAACCCAUCGCUCUACAGGCUGCAGUGGGUGUCCUCGCUCAGGGUGAGUUGACCUAUUAUUUCUUCCAGUAGCCCAUCCUUUAAAUUAUAUUUCAUCAACUUUUCCUGUUCACUUUAUUAUUAUUAUUUGGUGGUCACUUGCUGUGUCUAAUGGGGAGACACUUUAGAAGUUACACUGUAGAAGUUACAUCUCUGCACAUUACUUAUUCUGUGGUGAGGGUAAGAACGGUAAACCUUAAAACACUCUGAUAAGAAACACUGCAAGACAGGUAGAAGGGGAAACAUGUUUACCUUAUAAAGCAUUAAGAUAUUCUUUCGUUGAUAUGAUAAUUAAUUGUGUAAACUAAUCCAAAAAUCAGACGUAAAGCCAAACAUUUUUAGAAACAAAACGCUACCAAAUAUGAUUCUAAGUACUAAAGCAUAAACAGUCAAUAUUUAUUUAUUAUAUUAAUUUUUUUGCUUCAGUUUAUAUAUUAAAUAAAAAUUGACUUUAAUUGUUUUAAAACUUUAGGUCGCUCGAAGGUGCUUGUUAUUAGAUUUGCUUGUUUCUUUACUUUGGGUGCAUUGCUCUGUGCAGGACUAUCACUUUAAGCCCACAAUGUGGGGUGCACUCUGUACCGGGUGGGUCAAGGUUUGGGACUGCCAUAAAGACAGGAAUGGCCCUACUUUUAAAACACCUAAGCAUCUAAUGUAAAGAUCUUGUUUUUUAAAAUCACCAAUUUUUCUAACAUUAUAAUCAAUAGAUAUAUUUUUAAUAGAGAUUAUUAUGCAUCGUGUAAAUAUGUAAAAACAGAUGUAAACGCCAACAAGUUUUUUAAAUUAAACGCUAAACUAAUAUGAUUAGAAGUAGGGUCCUGCCCUGUAAUGUGGGUUUGUGGCUCACAGGGCAGGGCCCUAUAGUUAUUAAUUAUGAAAAUUGUUUCAAAAUGUUUCAUAACCGGCCAAUCUCGAUGAGAGGUGUCCGGAGCAUACAUGCAAGCGGGACAGGGCCGCUUGUCGUCCUAGAAGUCUUGGACUUCCAGGGUCUCUGACUGCUCCGGACAAACCUAAUGAGAGGUGUCCAGAGCACACGCGCAAGCGGGACAGGGCCGCUUGUCAUCCUGAAGUCUUAGACUUC
Long non-coding RNA from Misgurnus anguillicaudatus (oriental weatherfish), 1508 nucleotides. RefSeq lists it as uncharacterized. Lineage: Eukaryota; Metazoa; Chordata; Actinopteri; Cypriniformes; Cobitidae. The record is from RefSeq and is a predicted model, not a curated record.